Carcharodon carcharias (great white shark) is the source of this 192-nucleotide long non-coding RNA. RefSeq lists it as uncharacterized. The record is from RefSeq and is a predicted model, not a curated record. Lineage: Eukaryota; Metazoa; Chordata; Chondrichthyes; Lamniformes; Lamnidae. The transcript has 3 exons.
CAGGAGGAGCUGGGCCAAGGAUGGAUUCUUAGGAGAAGAAGGCGCAGAAUACCAGGGAGAGGCAGUCAUAGCCACCCUGACCACUGUGGAGGCCCUUGAGUAUCACCCAGGAACUGAAGCUGGAAAAGGAGGAGGACGGUUCCUCAGAGGAGUUUGAAGAAGCACUGUUACAUGACUCAUUCACACCCUCCA